Molecule: long non-coding RNA, 659 nt
Filed under: Cairina moschata (Muscovy duck)
Lineage: Eukaryota; Metazoa; Chordata; Aves; Anseriformes; Anatidae
Description: domestica (muscovy Duck (domestic type)) lncRNA (ENSCMMG00000016335.1)
Source: RNAcentral
AUGAUUGCAUCUUAUGGUAAUUACACAUCAUUUCAAUUGCAGGGGCUUACAAAGUAUUUCACAAGCUAUGGAAACCUAGUUCUUUCAGUGAAUUGGACCAACAGUACGUCAAUUAUGUAUUCAGUGUGGUGUUGUUGGCCUCCGCAUCCCAUCCAGCAGGUAAAGUGGUUUGAGUUGCUCCUUUUUAGAUUUCUGUAGUGCCUUUCCUUUUCAUGAAAGGUUUUAGAGGCCAAACUCCGUAGAAGUUAGCUGUGGAAUUCAAUUGCAGUAUGACUGAUAAUGUGGUAUCUUGCAGGAAGAAGCAAGAAGGUACCUGACACUGUGUAAUUUGUGUUUGAUACUUGGUAAUAUCUUUCUUAACUGCCCUUGGCAAAGAAGCAGCAUAGGGCAGCCAACAAACAACAGCUUUUGAGGUGGUACAUGGCAAAGAACAAAGGUUCCCUUCCUGAACAUCUCCUCUUGAGAGCAGUGCUCCAGUGCUCCUGAUAGAUCUGAGCUUCCUUCUCUGCAUUUCCCUCAGUGCUAUGCAAAGAUUUUGGUUUGUUGUUUUCAUGAGAUGUAGCCCAUCCCUUAACCCUGUGGCAGGAUUUGAAGUAGCAAAAGAUCAAAGGCUAAAAUUGAAGAAACUGAAUAUUUGAUGGUGGAAAAUACUGCUCUCG